UACAGAGGUCUCAAGCGUUGUUCGGAUUCAUUGGGCGUAAAGGGUGCGUAGGCGGCGCGUUAAGUCGGGUGUGAAAUCUUGGAGCUUAACUCCGAAACUGCAUUCGAUACUGCCGUGCUUGAGGACUGGAGAGGAGACUGGAAUUUACGGUGUAGCGGUGAAAUGCGUAGAUAUCGUAAGGAAGACCAGUGGCGAAGGCGGGUCUCUGGACAGUUCCUGACGCUGAGGCACGAAGGCCAGGGGAGCAAACGGG
This 253-nucleotide ribosomal RNA is filed under the name uncultured bacterium. Its description in RNAcentral is "partial 16S ribosomal RNA". It matches the Rfam family "Bacterial small subunit ribosomal RNA", at positions 524 to 776 of the family's 1533-position model. The record is from RNAcentral.